Amphiprion ocellaris (clown anemonefish) is the source of this 1147-nucleotide long non-coding RNA. NCBI's taxonomy places the organism in Eukaryota, Metazoa, Chordata, Actinopteri, Pomacentridae. The record is from Ensembl.
CGAACAAGCAAUCGUUAGUCUGCUCUCUGUUCAGUUCAACCCCCUAUGCCUAGUGCUUCAGUUAACUCUCGUUUUGCGUUCCUUUUUUUCCAGCCUGGACUUCCACCUGCUCAAAGCCAGUCCGUCAACCCAUCUCAAGCCUCAGCCGUCCGUUGCCACUUCGGAUCCUUCCCUGUUCCAGACCAUCCACACUACACCUGAUUCAUGCCACCACAUGCACCUCACGCCGUCUUUGUCCACUGCAUAAUGUGUGGUGACGUCUAUGUGUCAGAACAGCCGCUACAGAGACAACAUGUUGGAAAGGUGUGCUUGGCACAGACGCUGUGGCGGCAGGUGAUGUCUAUCAGCAAUCAUCAUCAGCAGAAGUACGAGCAGAAUCACCUGGCUUCCUGGUCUCCACAACUCGCCAGUCCGUUACCAUCGCCUCACAGCCCAGUUAACCCCCCGGAUACUCACCUGGUCCGUCUACCUCUCUCCGCCACCAUCUCUGACGAUUUCCCCCUUUUCCUCACACCAGCCGUCGCACCCUCCGAACACCAAUCCACACACUGAGCCUUCUCCAGGCCCUCCACCCUCGACAUUUCCCCGGCUCUCCUGUCUCCCCUGUUCCUGUUCUGUUCAGCGAAGUCUCAGUCCGUGCUUUCCAGACUAGCCUGAGUUCUAGUUCUGUAGCAUUCUGUAGAUUAGUAUAGCUCGAGUAUCUUCUGUGAGUGUUAUCACUCAUUUGUCUAUUGCCUGGUAUGCCAGCCUAGUUCGAAACACCUUUUCUUCUGGUUUAGGUUAGUAUUGUUGUUCUUGUGUCCUGCAGGUAGUAUAUCUGAGUAAUCCCAGUGAGUGUAGCCACUCUUUUGUUGUGCCUGGUACAGUAUAGGUCUAGUAGUUCCAGUUUAGUUUUCUGUAUACUGUACUCUGUAUUUUCUAGUAUGUGUAGUUUCACUUUCCUACCAAGGCUUUACCUGCAAUAGGUUAGUUAUCUUGCUUUGUAAAUAUCCCUUUGUAUAGUCUGCCAGCCUCUAGGGGCACUACUGAGUGAAUCAGUAUCUGUAAACACCAGUAACCUGGUUCUACUUCCGGUUGUAGUCUUCUGGUUCAGUUUUGUAGUUCUUGUACCUGUUUACCUCUGUAAAUAAAGCUGUUGAAUUUGGAC